UGAGACUGCAGCUUUUGGAAGACAUUUGAUUUUGAUGUGAAAUGCCACAAGCUGAACAAAUGCUCCAGAGCAGAAAAAUAAAAUGGAUUAACAAAUGGAACGAAUCUUUCACACUUCUGACACAGAUCCUUGCCAGGAAGAUAUGAAUGGUUAUAGAUGCACUUUGGUUAGAGGAAGAAAAAUUUCAAAGAGCUAGAUCCACAGCUCAUAUAAAAUAUAUAGCUCCACUGACUUCGAUAAUGUUGUGCUGAGCUUCACCAGCUGAAGAUCUGGUUGAAGGUGCAGAAGUUGACUGUCCUGUCCACUUCAAAUUCAUUUAUCCUCAAAAGUAUCUGCAGCUUAAAGUCUUCUACUAAAAUAGCUGAGUGGGAAUCAGAGAAACUGCAGGUGGAAAACAGCUAGAACUGAGUGAAUAGAACAAAAAAAGCAUUCCCAAAUAUAUUUGUAAAUAAAAAUUAUCAAUCCACUUCACUAGUACCUGCAGUCCUUCAGUGGUGUCAAACAGGGAUGUGUUUUGGCAUCAACACGCUUUGAUGUAUUCUUCUCUCUCCUGCUUUGUCACACUUUCUCAUUUAGCACCGAGAGAGAAGAUUUCUGUACAAGAUCAGAUGGAAAACUCUUCAAUAUUGCACGUCUAAGAGCCAAAAGCAAAAUCAAACACCUGCUGAUAAAAUAAUUUCUUUUCACUGAUGACGCAGUGCUCAUGAUGCUGAUGACGCAGUGGAGAGGAGCUCCAGCAGCUGUGCAAUCGUUUUGCGCUAGCUUGUAAGGAAUUUGAACUAACCAUGAGUCCAAAGAAAACAAUGAUUAUGGCACAAAUAUAAGAAUGGCCAUACUAGGUCAGACCACCAGUCCAUCUAGCCCAAUAUCUUGUCUUCAGAUAACAGUUGGUGCCAGAUGCUUCAGAGGGAAUGAACAGAACAGGACAAUGUAUCAAGUAAUCUGUUGUCCAGUCCAAGCUUCUGGACUGGCAGUCAGAGGUCUAGGGACACCCGGAGCAUUGAGUGGUCUGGGGACACCCUGACCAUCUUGGCUAAUAGCCACUAAUGAACCUAUCCUCCAUAAAUUUAUCUAAUUCUUUUUUUUUUUUUUUGUUAUCUAGUUAACCUGUUUCAGAGUUGCUAACUAUUGUGAUUUUAGCAUGAAUGUCACAUUAUUAAGUGUUUUUCUUAAAAGCCUCAGCUUCUGAAAUUAACUGAUUACAUGAAAUGUCAGCUUUCACUUUUUAAAAAAAGUACAUUUUCAGCCCAGAUGAUUGCAGAUAAAAUAAUGACCCUUUAAAGCUCAAAACCACUAUGUAAAUAAAAAGAACUCCAAACUUAUUGUUUUGUUUUGUUUUUUUAUCUCAUGAUUUUUAAGUGCUUGGCAACACAAGCUUAGGUUAACCAGUAAGGAAACAGAAACAAUACCAAGCUGAUGAGUAAUCACAUACAGUGAAGAGCAAAUACUCACAGGGACCACUAUGAAAUUUAACUCAAAGAGAGAGCUAAAUUCAUUAAACAAACUGUUACCUGGAAAUAGUCCCCCCAGCUCUAGAAAAGACCUGGUGGCUCACCAAGUGUACCUUCAUCCCUCCUUGGCCUACACGUUCUUUGUUCAGUCUAAUUUAAACACCCUUGAUAUGGCCAGGGUGCCAAACUUUGAGAACCCGAUUCUGAUCUCACUUGCACCAAUAUAAAGCCAGAGUAAUUUCAGUGAAGGAAAUGAAGUUACACCCAUGUAAAUCUCAUGUGAAUAAGGUCAAAUUCUGAACAUCUGUCUGCUCUGCCCUUACAGAGUCAUUUUGCUCUUUGGCAAAAUCAAGCACCGUGUUAUAGUAUGACGAGUGGAAAUAGAGAAACAGGAUCAUGUUUCAGGUGGACCUAGAUUGUGAGGUACUGGGGUUUAGGAACACAGGCUUGCGGCUGGCUGUGAAAUGACAAAUGGCAGAUUCUCAGCCAGUAAUACUGACCUCUCAGCAUGGUUAAUAAAGCUCUGAUUCUUACAAAUCUAGCUUAUUGCUGCAUCACUGAAUGUUAAUGAAAGGGUUAAAGCAAUUGUGUCCUCAGACUAGAAAGAAGUUUUGUCCCUGGAUUUUAUCUUCCUGAUAUCACUAGUUGAAAGUAGGGGGUGGUGUGGGAAGUAAGUAACUGAGAUGAUUUUGUGAUUCAAGGAUUACUAUGUGAUACCACUAGUUUAGAGGUAUUGUGAAUUUUAGGCUAACAGCUGACUUUACCUAGCAAUUAGUUUUAAACUGUAUCAUUUCAGUAUAGCUCAAAAGACACUGUGAAUGAACAACAUCAUUACUCCAUUUUCUACUUUAAUCAGAUUAGUCCCCUGACUUUCUGGGCAUUUUUUCCCCAAUAAUUAAAUGAUUAAUCUUUUGUAUUUGGGUGCAUGGAUUCCUAUCCCACUUUUUAUGUUAGAAAAUUAAUGUUCUUUUGCAAUAUCAUUCUGUUAGUGAUGCAUGAGCUGUUAUGCAACAAACAUAGCUUCCUGUUGUCCUAAAUAAAUAUUGCUACUUAAAGUAGUCAUGUUAAGUUUUGAGAUAAUUGGAUAUAUAUCACCUGCAAAUGUUCCUCCAAAUAUGAAAGCAAUUAAAUUGGGUAAAAUUAAAUAGCUAACAUUGUGUGCAUGUAAAGUCAAUAAAUAAAGGUGCCAUUCCUGCUGUG
This is a long non-coding RNA of Malaclemys terrapin pileata, 2651 nucleotides long. RefSeq lists it as uncharacterized. The transcript is spliced from 3 exons. Lineage: Eukaryota; Metazoa; Chordata; Testudines; Emydidae. The record is from RefSeq and is a predicted model, not a curated record.